Molecule: transfer RNA, 74 nt
Filed under: Actinomycetota bacterium
Lineage: Bacteria; Bacillati; Actinomycetota
Description: tRNA-Arg
Rfam family: tRNA
About the family: Transfer RNA (tRNA) molecules are approximately 80 nucleotides in length.
Source: RNAcentral
GCGCUCGUAGCUCAGCUGGAUAGAGCAGCGGGUUUCUAACCCGCCAGUCGCAGGUUCGAGUCCUGCCGGGCGCA